GGCUCAGAGUGAACGCUGGCGGCGUGCCUAACACAUGCAAGUCGAGCGAAGUGGCAGCUGUAGCAAUACAGUAUGUGCUUAGCGGCAGACGGGUGAGUAACACGUAGACAACCUUCCUUCCAGAGGGGGAUAGCUCGCCGAAAGGCGAGGUAAUACCGCGUAAGAUCAACGGUCGGCAUCGAUUGUUGAUGAGACAUCCGCAAGGAUGGCUGGGAGACGGGUCUGCGGCCUAUCAGCUAGUUGGCGAGGUAACGGCUCACCAAGGCAACGACGGGUAUCCGGCCUGAAAGGGCGAACGGACACACUGACACUGAGACACGGGUCAGACUCCUACGGGAGGCAGCAGUGAGGAAUCUUGGACAAUAGGGGCAACCCUGAUCCAGCGACGCCGCGUGAAGGAUGAAGGUCUUCGGAUUGUAAACUUCUUUUGUCUGGGAAUAAAAAAUCCAUAGAAAUAUGGGUCUUGAAUGUACCAGGCGAAUAAGCCACGGCUAACUUCGUGCCAGCAGCCGCGGUAAUACGAAGGUGGCAAGCGUUACUCGGAAUUACUAGGCGUAAAGGGCAGGUAGGUGGUCUGAUAAGUCUGUUGUGAAAGCUCCCGGCUUAACUGGGAGAGGUCAACAGAAACUGUCAGGCUUGAGUAUAGGAGAGGGUACUGGAAUUCCCGGUGUAGCGGUGAAAUGCGCAGAUAUCGGGAGGAACACCAAUGGCGAAAGCAGGUACCUGGACUAUUACUGACACUCAGCUGCGAAAGCUAGGGGAGCAAACAGGAUUAGAUACCCUGGUAGUCCUAGCUGUAAACGAUGCACAUUAGGCGUGAGGGGUAUCGACCCCCUUCGUGCCGACGCAAACGCAUUAAAUGUGCCGCCUGGGGAGUACGGCCGCAAGGGUGAAACU
Molecule: ribosomal RNA, 897 nt
Filed under: uncultured bacterium
Lineage: Bacteria
Description: bacterial SSU rRNA
Rfam family: Bacterial small subunit ribosomal RNA
Source: RNAcentral